This 162-nucleotide ribosomal RNA is filed under the name uncultured bacterium. RNAcentral's name for it is "partial 16S ribosomal RNA". It matches the Rfam family "Bacterial small subunit ribosomal RNA", at positions 355 to 509 of the family's 1533-position model. The record is from RNAcentral.
UAGGGAAUUUUCGUCAAUGGGGGCAACCCUGAACGAGCAAUGCCGCGUGAGCGAAGAAGGUCUUCGGAUCGUAAAGUUCUGUUGAAGGGGAAAAAGAGCGGAGAGAGGAAAUGCUUUCUGAUUGAUAUUACCCUUCGAGGAAGUCACGGCUAACUACGUGCC